This 593-nucleotide ribosomal RNA is filed under the name Bacillus subtilis. RNAcentral's name for it is "bacterial SSU rRNA". It matches the Rfam family "Bacterial small subunit ribosomal RNA", at positions 38 to 612 of the family's 1533-position model. The record is from RNAcentral. Lineage: Bacteria; Bacillati; Bacillota; Bacilli; Caryophanales; Bacillaceae.
GGCGGCGUGCCUAAUACAUGCAAGUCGAGCGAACUGAUUAGAAGCUUGCUUCUAUGACGUUAGCGGCGGACGGGUGAGUAACACGUGGGCAACCUGCCUGUAAGACUGGGAUAACUUCGGGAAACCGAAGCUAAUACCGGAUAGGAUCUUCUCCUUCAUGGGAGAUGAUUGAAAGAUGGUUUCGGCUAUCACUUACAGAUGGGCCCGCGGUGCAUUAGCUAGUUGGUGAGGUAACGGCUCACCAAGGCAACGAUGCAUAGCCGACCUGAGAGGGUGAUCGGCCACACUGGGACUGAGACACGGCCCAGACUCCUACGGGAGGCAGCAGUAGGGAAUCUUCCGCAAUGGACGAAAGUCUGACGGAGCAACGCCGCGUGAGUGAUGAAGGCUUUCGGGUCGUAAAACUCUGUUGUUAGGGAAGAACAAGUACGAGAGUAACUGCUCGUACCUUGACGGUACCUAACCAGAAAGCCACGGCUAACUACGUGCCAGCAGCCGCGGUAAUACGUAGGUGGCAAGCGUUAUCCGGAAUUAUUGGGCGUAAAGCGCGCGCAGGCGGUUUCUUAAGUCUGAUGUGAAAGCCCACGGCUCAA